AUUGAACGCUAGCGGGAUGCUUUACACAUGCAAGUCGAACGAGUGGCGGACGGGUGAGUAAUAUAUAGGAACGAGCCCAGUAGAGGGGGAUAACUACUCGAAAGAGUGGCUAAUAACGCAUAACAAUGGAGCGGCAGAUAACGGAUUGGCCAGUUGGUGGGGUAAAGGCUAACCAAGGCAACGAUCCGUAGCUGGGUUGAGAGGCCGACCAGCCACACUGGGACUGAGACACGGCCCAGACUCCUACGGAAGGAAGCAGUGGGGAAUUUUGGACAAUGGGGGAAACCCUGAUCCAGCCAUCCCGCGUGUAUGAGAAGGCCUUCGGGUUGUAAAGUACUUUUGGCAGAGAAGCGGUAUCUGCAGAAUAAGCACCGGCUAACUACGUGCCAGCAGCCGCGGUAAUAC
This 405-nucleotide ribosomal RNA is filed under the name uncultured bacterium. RNAcentral describes it as "partial 16S ribosomal RNA". It matches the Rfam family "Bacterial small subunit ribosomal RNA", at positions 30 to 526 of the family's 1533-position model. The record is from RNAcentral.